This 2288-nucleotide long non-coding RNA is filed under the name Salmo salar (Atlantic salmon). RNAcentral describes it as "lncRNA (ENSSSAG00000098612.1, ENSSSAG00000118369.1)". Lineage: Eukaryota; Metazoa; Chordata; Actinopteri; Salmoniformes; Salmonidae. The record is from RNAcentral.
CAGCCUGCCCCGGCCAAACCCGGACGACACUGGGCCAAUUGUGUGCCGGCCUAUGGGACUCCCAAUCAUGGCCGGUUGUGAUACAACCUGUCUCAUAGAUACCAAUGCGUUGUUCUUGACUUCCAUUGAAACAGAAAACAUUAGGGAGUGGGAUGUUUCACUUCCUCUUCCAUCUCUGCUUGAGACUCCAGAAUGCUGAGUCACAAUGACAAGCCAGAAAUACAGCCAGUGCAUAGCCUGAGUCGGUCCACAUAGAACACACUAGAGGUUAGGACAGGAAUAAGAGUGGGAAGGAGGGAGAGAAAUAGGAACAUCUCCCCCACACAUUCUGAAAUUGCAUUUUUGGCUGUUUAGUGUUUAUCCCCGAAAAAUAUACAUUUUAGCUAAAUACAUUUAAUUACAGUGAAAAUUCCUUGUCUUAGUUCAUUUAGGAUCACCACUUUAUUUUAAGAAUGUGAAAUGUCAUAGAUUUCAGCUUAUUCCCAGUGGGUCAGAAGUUUACACUCAGAAUUUUGUAGCAUUGCCUUUAAAUUGUUUAACUUGGGUCAAACGUUUCAGUUAGCCUUCUACAAGCUUCCCACAAUAAGUUGGGUGAAUUUUAUAGUAAGGCUGUCAUAUUUCCCAGUCCCUUAUAGGCAUAUGGCUCAAAAUAUGGAAGAAUGCAAAUAGACUCCUCAAGUAUUAAUGAGCAGUAGUGUGUCAUUUAAAUAUACUGAUAGCAAAUAUUGUCCAUCAACCUGCAACCCUGGGACAACCUGUGGGUCAUAACAGCUUGCUAGUUUAUUUGCGCACAGGUUCGAAUGACCUGACUUUUAAAAUGCUCAGGUUAAAGGCUACAGCGACUUGUGAAGUCGGUUACCCAUGUCACAGUUAAUGACCUAGCUGUUAUGGGACCUGAACAGACGUUGCACCAUUACAAGUUAUGUAAUAGCCCUUAUAAAGCUCAUGUCAACCUUCUAUGACCCUCAGUCACUGUAGUAGGCUUACAAUUGUCAGUAUUUAGCAUUUCUAUGGAGAAAUGAUUGCACAGAUGGCAAUUGGACAAAAACAUGUAUCGUCAGCCUCAUGUGUCAUUCAUACACAGUAACAAACAGUGAAUCCAGCUCAAAAAAGGUUUUAUUCUUCAGCUUGAAAAUGAGAAGUCACACCUAGUGAAGAGGAUCCUUGCGUUUCAGGUAUUGAAAUGCUCAGUAAGACAGCGCAAUAGGACAAAAAUCAGCAACAACUCGAUUCUUUUACAAUGUACCUCCCCUCCAAUAACAAAUUUGUCAACAUUACAGAUGUUAUGCCCUCCCCUCCUUAUAAAUGCAAAGCCAGCAGAAUAGAGCAGAAAGACCAGGAGUCCUGGUCUGAGGCUGGAUGCCGUAGCCUGGGGAUGGAAGUGGUUUAGCUCUGGCCUCCCAGGGUGUGCUUGUCAAACAGGUACUCUGCCAUCUUGUUUUUGACAGCAUCCAUCUUGGUGAGGCAAUCUUGUGCAGGUCCAGCAGGGCCUGGUUCACAUUCUUCUCCAGCUGCAGAGCACACUGCAUGGCCUCCAGCCCAUUGCCCCACUCAUCACGUUCUGGCUUCUACACAGGACAGAGUGACCACAGGAGGGUUAGGGACUACUAGCAGAUGUUUCUAUGCAUACCUACUAGCAGUCACCACAGUUAGCCAGUAUAUCUAACCCAUCAAGGGAUAAAACGAACUGGAAAUAAUGAAACAAAAAGUAAAGAUGGGCCAAUUUAACAGACACUACAAACAACCACAUAUGCUUUAGUUUAUGAAGCACAUAUAGGUUGUGUGGCUCAGUCAGUAGAGCAUGGCGUUUAACACCAAUGGUUAUGGCUCACUUCCCGCUGGGGCCACUUAAACAAAAUGUAUGCACACAUGGCCAAGUCAAUUUUGCUAUGCAGCACAGAGAAAAAUGUAGUUUUAGUUUAUACUAAGGUCUUCGCCAUCCCCAAAAUACACAUUUUAAAAUAUAAUAACACUUCCCCUUACUGUUGAGACUUCCUUUGAAAAAAGAACAAUGAUUCCAAUUCCCUGUAUUCAUAGGCCUACAGUAAGCAGUCAGGCCACAUCUUCAAGCGCCUUGCUCUAAUACCAGGGCAGUCACUUAGGGCACACCUCACAAUGAACUCACUCAGCAUUAAUGACUACUCAUUCAAAAUAACUCCUAUACUUGUAGUAAACAGUUUAUUGAAAAAAAAAGAACCCAUCUAGAACCAUAAAGGGUUCUUCAUUUGACCCUAUAGAUCAACCAUUUGGGUCCAUGAAGAACCUUUACAACUGAGAACAAGACUUUU